RNAcentral lists this ribosomal RNA (460 nucleotides) under uncultured bacterium. RNAcentral describes it as "partial 16S ribosomal RNA". It matches the Rfam family "Bacterial small subunit ribosomal RNA", at positions 338 to 795 of the family's 1533-position model. The record is from RNAcentral.
CCUACGGGUGGCAGCAGUGAGGAAUAUUGGUCAAUGGGCGCGAGCCUGAACCAGCCAAGUAGCGUGAAGGAUGACUGCCCUACGGGUUGUAAACUUCUUUUAUAAAGGAAUAAAGUGAGGCACGUGUGCCUUUUUGUAUGUACUUUAUGAAUAAGGCUCGGCUAACUCCGUGCCAACCGCCGGGGUAAUACGGAGGAUCCGAGCGUUAUCCGGAUUUAUUGGGGUUAAAGGGAGCGUAGAGGGGUUUUUAAGGUAGGUGUGAAAGUGUGCGGCUCAACCGUGAGAUUGCAGUUGAUACUGGGGGUCUUGAGUACAGUUGAGGUAGGCGGAAUUCGUGGUGUAGCGGUGAAAUGCUUAGAUAUCACGAAGAACUCCGAUUGCGAAGGCAGCCUACUAACCUGCCACUGACAUUGAUGCUCGAAAGUGUGGGUAUCAAACAGGAUUAGAUACCCCAGUAGUC